Molecule: ribosomal RNA, 859 nt
Filed under: uncultured bacterium
Lineage: Bacteria
Description: bacterial SSU rRNA
Rfam family: Bacterial small subunit ribosomal RNA
Source: RNAcentral
GAGUUUGAUCCUGGCUCAGAACGAACGCUGGCGGCAGGCUUAACACAUGCAAGUCGAGCGCACUCUUCGGAGUGAGCGGCGGACGGGUUAGUAACGCGUGGGAACGUGCCCUUCUCUAAGGAAUAGCCACUGGAAACGGUGAGUAAUACCUUAUACGCCCCUCGGGGGAAAGAUUUAUCGGAGAAGGAUCGGCCCGCGUUAGAUUAGAUAGUUGGUGGGGUAAUGGCCUACCAAGUCUACGAUCUAUAGCUGGUUUUAGAGGAUGAUCAGCAACACUGGGACUGAGACACGGCCCAGACUCCUACGGGAGGCAGCAGUGGGGAAUCUUGGACAAUGGGCGCAAGCCUGAUCCAGCCAUGCCGCGUGAGUGAUGAAGGCCUUAGGGUCGUAAAGCUCUUUCGCCAGAGAUGAUAAUGACAGUAUCUGGUAAAGAAACCCCGGCUAACUCCGUGCCAGCAGCCGCGGUAAUACGGAGGGGGUUAGCGUUGUUCGGAAUUACUGGGCGUAAAGCGCACGUAGGCGGAUCAGAAAGUAUAGGGUGAAAUCCCAGGGCUCAACCCUGGAACUGCCUUGUAAACUCCUGGUCUUGAGUUCGAGAGAGGUGAGUGGAAUUCCGAGUGUAGAGGUGAAAUUCGUAGAUAUUCGGAGGAACACCAGUGGCGAAGGCGGCUCACUGGCUCGAUACUGACGCUGAGGUGCGAAAGUGUGGGGAGCAAACAGGAUUAGAUACCCUGGUAGUCCACACCGUAAACGAUGAAUGCCAGACGUCAGCAAGCAUGCUUGUUGGUGUCACACCUAACGGAUUAAGCAUUCCGCCUGGGGAGUACGGUCGCAAGAUUAAAACUCAAGGAAUUUGACG